AUGUACCAGCUCCUGACCCACCAUCUCUCUAAUAAAGUGUUGACUUCCUUUGUUCGACUCCUAGAUCUUCAAGCACCCUGCAUAUCCAGAUGGCUUGACAUGUGGCUCCAGUGUCGGUGAGAUGUACUCGCUUCAACACCUCCAUUACUGAGCAUAAAUACAUUUGAUGAGACGAUCUUACUCCCUCGCGCCACAUGGGGGAGGGAGAGGUGUCUUUUGCGCCGCAUAGAAGGAAGUCAAGUGGGGCUGCUUCUUGAUGUGGUCUCGCGCCAUGCGGAGUAAGCUCAAGACUCCCCAGCGACGCGCAAGGGAGAGCCGAAUCGGGAAAAAUCUACCGUUGACCUAAUAAAGGUUUGUCGACUAAGAGAUUGAGAUUAGACUUCUUUUUAUGAAUCCAGAGAAGAAGAGAGGCGAUUUUCAAUGUUCUUUGCAUCUUCUUUCAUCAAGUUCUUUAUGUCAAAUCAUUCUAAAUCAAGAUCUGAAGCUGUGAUGACAAACAUGUGAGGCUAAACUCCUUGUGACUUCCACCGGAUGAACGAUUGUUAGGUUUUUGGAUGAAUACUUUGUAUUUCUGAUUGUUAUAAUUGAUAUAUCUU
RNAcentral lists this long non-coding RNA (596 nucleotides) under Helianthus annuus (common sunflower). RNAcentral describes it as "hypothetical non coding rna". Lineage: Eukaryota; Viridiplantae; Streptophyta; Magnoliopsida; Asterales; Asteraceae. The record is from RNAcentral.